This 253-nucleotide ribosomal RNA is filed under the name uncultured bacterium. RNAcentral's name for it is "partial 16S ribosomal RNA". It matches the Rfam family "Bacterial small subunit ribosomal RNA", at positions 524 to 776 of the family's 1533-position model. The record is from RNAcentral.
UACGUAGGGUGCAAGCGUUAAUCGGAAUUACUGGGCGUAAAGCGUGCGCAGGCGGUUUCGUAAGUCUGUCGUGAAAUCCCCGGGCUUAACCUGGGAAUGGCAUUGGUGACUGCACGGCUAGAGUGUGUCAGAGGGGGGUAGAAUUCCACGUGUAGCAGUGAAAUGCGUAGAGAUGUGGAGGAAUACCGAUGGCGAAGGCAGCCCCCUGGGAUAACACUGACGCUCAUGCACGAAAGCGUGGGGAGCAAACAGG